UACGUAGGGGGCGAGCGUUGUCCGGAUUCAUUGGGCGUAAAGAGCUCGUAGGCGGCUUGGCAAGUCGGGUGUGAAAACUUCAGGCUCAACCUGGAGAUGCCACUCGAUACUGCUAUGGCUAGAGUCCGGUAGGGGACCACGGAAUUCCUGGUGUAGCGGUGAAAUGCGCAGAUAUCAGGAGGAACACCGGUGGCGAAGGCGGUGGUCUGGGCCGGCACUGACGCUGAGGUGCGAAAGCGUGGGGAGCAAACAGG
Molecule: ribosomal RNA, 254 nt
Filed under: uncultured bacterium
Lineage: Bacteria
Description: partial 16S ribosomal RNA
Rfam family: Bacterial small subunit ribosomal RNA
Source: RNAcentral